GUGCUCACUUCAGCAGUACAUAUACUAAAAUUGGAACGAUGUGGAGAAGAUUAGCAUGGCCCCAGGGCAAGGAUGACUGGCAAAUUCGUGAAGUGUUCCAUUAAAAA
This 107-nucleotide small nuclear RNA is filed under the name Zalophus californianus (California sea lion). Lineage: Eukaryota; Metazoa; Chordata; Mammalia; Carnivora; Otariidae. The record is from RNAcentral.